Molecule: transfer RNA, 74 nt
Filed under: Apaloderma vittatum (bar-tailed trogon)
Lineage: Eukaryota; Metazoa; Chordata; Aves; Trogoniformes; Trogonidae
Rfam family: tRNA
About the family: Transfer RNA (tRNA) molecules are approximately 80 nucleotides in length. Their secondary structure includes four short double-helical elements and three loops (D, anti-codon, and T loops).
Source: Rfam by way of RNAcentral
GGCCGGUUAGCUCAGUGGGUUAGAGCAUGGUGCUGAUAACACCAAGGUAGCGGGUUUGAUCCCUAUUCAGUCCC